GAUGAACGCUGGCGGCGUGCCUAAUACAUGCAAGUCGAGCGAACAGACGAGGAGCUUGCUCCUCUGACGUUAGCGGCGGACGGGUGAGUAACACGUGGAUAACCUACCUAUAAGACUGGGAUAACUUCGGGAAACCGGCGCUAAUACCGGAUAAUAUAUUGAACCGCAUGGUUCAAUAGUGAAAGACGGUUUUGCUGUCACUUAUAGAUGGAUCCCCGCCGCAUGAGCUAGUUGGUAAGGUAACGGCUUACCAAGGCGACGAUGCGUAGCCGACCGGAGAGGGUGGUCGGCCACACGAGAACUGAGACACGGUCCAGACUACUAAGGGAGGCAGCAGUAGGGAAUCUUCCGCAAUGGGCGAAAGCCUGACGGAGCAGCGCCGAGUGAGAGAUGAAGGUCUUCGGAUCGGAAAACUCUGUUAUGAGGGAAGAACAAAUGUGUAAGUAACUAUACACGUCGUGACGGUACCUAAUCAGAAAGCAACGGCUAACUACGUG
RNAcentral lists this ribosomal RNA (497 nucleotides) under uncultured bacterium. RNAcentral's name for it is "partial 16S ribosomal RNA". It matches the Rfam family "Bacterial small subunit ribosomal RNA", at positions 28 to 507 of the family's 1533-position model. The record is from RNAcentral.